UACGGAGGGUGCGAGCGUUGUUCGGAAUUAUUGGGCGUAAAGCGCGUGUAGGCGGUUCUUUAAGUCUGAUGUGAAAGCCCCGGGCUCAACCUGGGAAGUGCAUUGGAUACUGGAGGACUUGAGUACGGGAGAGGGUAGUGGAAUUCCUAGUGUAGGAGUGAAAUCCGUAGAUAUUAGGAGGAACACCGGUGGCGAAGGCGGCUACCUGGACCGAUACUGACGCUGAGACGCGAAAGCGUGGGGAGCAAACAGG
RNAcentral lists this ribosomal RNA (253 nucleotides) under uncultured bacterium. RNAcentral's name for it is "partial 16S ribosomal RNA". It matches the Rfam family "Bacterial small subunit ribosomal RNA", at positions 524 to 776 of the family's 1533-position model. The record is from RNAcentral. RNAcentral also lists the same sequence under 1 other name.